CGGGGAAUAUUGCGCAAUGGGCGAAAGCCUGACGCAGCGACGCCGCGUGGGGGAAGAAGGCCUUCGGGUUGUAAACCUCUUUCAGGGGGGACGAAGCCACUAGGGUUAAUAGCCCAAAGAGUGACGGUACCUCCAGAAGAAGCCCCGGCUAACUACGUGCCAGCAGCCGCGGUAAUACGUAGGGGGCAAGCGUUGUCCGGAUUUAUUGGGCGUAAAGAGCGUGUAGGCGGCCAUGCAGGUCCGUUGUGAAAACUGGAGGCUCAACCUCCAGACGCCGGUGGAAACCGCAUGGCUAGAGUCCGGAAGAGGAGAGUGGAAUUCCUGGUGUAGCGGUGAAAUGCGCAGAUAUCAGGAAGAACACCCGUGGCGAAGGCGGCUCUCUGGGACGGUACUGACGCUGAGACGCGAAAGCGUGGGGAGCGAACAG
This 427-nucleotide ribosomal RNA is filed under the name uncultured bacterium. RNAcentral's name for it is "bacterial SSU rRNA". It matches the Rfam family "Bacterial small subunit ribosomal RNA", at positions 355 to 775 of the family's 1533-position model. The record is from RNAcentral.